RNAcentral lists this ribosomal RNA (497 nucleotides) under uncultured bacterium. RNAcentral describes it as "partial 16S ribosomal RNA". It matches the Rfam family "Bacterial small subunit ribosomal RNA", at positions 28 to 507 of the family's 1533-position model. The record is from RNAcentral.
GAUGAACGCUGGCGGCGUGCCUAAUACAUGCAAGUCGAGCGAACAGAUGAGGAGCUUGCUCCGCUGACGUUAGCGGCGGACGGGUGAGUAACACGUGGAUAACCUACCUAUAAGACUGGGAUAACUUCGGGAAACCGGAGCUAAUACCGGAUAAUAUAUUGAACCGCAUGGUUCAAUAGUGAAAGACGGUUUUGCUGUCACUAAUAGAUGGAUCCCCGCCGCAUUAGCUGGUUGGUAAGGUAACGGCUUAUCAAGGCAACGAUGCGUAGCCGACCUGAGGGGGUGAUCAGCCACACUGGAACUGAGACACGGUCCAGACUCCUACGGGAGGCAGCAGUAGGGAAUCGUCCGCAAUGGGCGAAAGCCUGACGGAGCAACGCCGCGUGAGUGAUGAAGGUCUUCGGAUCGUAAAACUCUGUUAUUAGGGAAGAACAAAUGUGUAAGUAACUAUGCGCGUCUUGACGGUACCUAAUCAGAAAGCCACGGCUAACUACGUG